RNAcentral lists this ribosomal RNA (165 nucleotides) under Brachypodium distachyon (stiff brome). Its description in RNAcentral is "5.8S ribosomal RNA". It matches the Rfam family "5.8S ribosomal RNA". Rfam says of the family: 5.8S ribosomal RNA (5.8S rRNA) is a component of the large subunit of the eukaryotic ribosome. It is transcribed by RNA polymerase I as part of the 45S precursor that also contains 18S and 28S rRNA. Functionally, it is thought that 5.8S rRNA may be involved in ribosome translocation. The record is from RNAcentral. Lineage: Eukaryota; Viridiplantae; Streptophyta; Magnoliopsida; Poales; Poaceae.
GACACGACUCUCGGCAACGGAUAUCUCGGCUCUCGCAUCGAUGAAGAACGUAGCGAAAUGCGAUACCUGGUGUGAAUUGCAGAAUCCCGCGAACCAUCGAGUCUUUGAACGCAAGUUGCGCCCGAGGCCACCCGGUCGAGGGCACGCCUGCCUGGGCGUCACGCC